CAACACGAGCCUAUUAAAAAAAAUGCCAAAAAAUUUAUCACCUCUAAUAACCUCAAAGCUUUGCAAAAUUUAAAGAUUCCAUAACACCAAUAAGUUACCUGAAGCCCCAAUAGAGUCCACUCCUUCAAAAUAUACAGCCCCAGAGCCCCAAGCUUCCCUCACUCCAAUUAGACUAGGGUUAGGAAGUAUAGUUUCUUGUAAAAUUAAAAUAUCAGGUUUAUACUUCCUUACUAAAAAUAACACAUCCCGCUUCCUACAAGUAUCCCUCAAGCCCCUUUCAUUCCAAUUUAAAAUGAUCAUUAUGAGGGGGAAGAAGUAGGACCUGGACCAUCAAGGGGUGACCCAAAAUACUACUGCUCCAACAUAAACGCAAUCUCCAUAGACGACGGGCUUGAAGACGAGUCCGACUCGGCACUACCAAUCUCCACCAGUGUAUCAUCAGUAACAUUAGUUCGAUUAAUCACCACGGUAGUACCCCUCGAAGCAAGCCUCGAUGAAGAUCUAGUGGGAGCAGUCUGCUUGCCUUAAGCUUCUUCGGCCUUGAAGGCAAAGGCAUCCUCUCAGGGCUAAAAGCAACUUCCUUAUCAGCAACAUUCAGCUCUUUCUCCGCAGCUUGUGGCUUCACAUCCUCUUUCAUCUUUGUUAAUUUCUCUGCCUUUUUCUACCAUCAUGGUCCAGCCCCAUACGAUCCAUCAUAUUUUCAUUAUUGCUGUCCUCUACCUCAGGAAGAGCAGUAAGGGCAGGAACCUCUUCUUCUUGAAGAAUAACAUUAAGAGGAGGGCUCCAACUCCACCAAAGCCAGGUUUCGAUUAGAGGGGAGCAUCCUGACCAUCACCAAUACAGCCCAAAAUUUCCAAACCCGGAUCCAAUCCUUCCUCUUUUGACUCGACCAAUAAAGGAUCAAAG
RNAcentral lists this long non-coding RNA (906 nucleotides) under Amborella trichopoda. Its description in RNAcentral is "long non-coding RNA (ATRI_LNC003191)". The record is from RNAcentral. Lineage: Eukaryota; Viridiplantae; Streptophyta; Magnoliopsida; Amborellales; Amborellaceae.